UACGUAGGGGGCGAGCGUUGUCCGGAAUUAUUGGGCGUAAAGAGCUCGUAGGCGGUUUGUCGCGUCUGCUGUGAAAACUCGGGGCUUAACUCCGGGCCUGCAGUGGGUACGGGCAGACUAGAGUGCGGUAGGGGAGACUGGAAUUCCUGGUGUAGCGGUGAAAUGCGCAGAUAUCAGGAGGAACACCGGUGGCGAAGGCGGGUCUCUGGGCCGUAACUGACACUGAGGAGCGAAAGCGUGGGGAGCGAACAGG
This 253-nucleotide ribosomal RNA is filed under the name uncultured bacterium. Its description in RNAcentral is "partial 16S ribosomal RNA". It matches the Rfam family "Bacterial small subunit ribosomal RNA", at positions 524 to 776 of the family's 1533-position model. The record is from RNAcentral.